RNAcentral lists this ribosomal RNA (231 nucleotides) under uncultured bacterium. RNAcentral's name for it is "partial 16S ribosomal RNA". It matches the Rfam family "Bacterial small subunit ribosomal RNA", at positions 333 to 581 of the family's 1533-position model. The record is from RNAcentral.
CGGGGCCUACGGGACGCAGCAGUGGGGAAUAUUGGACAAUGGGGGAAACCCUGAUCCAGCGACGCCGCGUGAGUGAAGAAGUAUUUCGGUACGUAAAGCUCUAUCAGCAGGAAAGAAAAUGACGGUACCUGACUAAGAAGCCCCGGCUAACUACGUGCCAGCAGCCGCGGUAAUACGUAGGGGGCAAGCGUUAUCCGGAUUUACUGGGUGUAAGGGGAGCGUAGACGGUGC